UCCUAAGUUAAAGCUUGUUGAAAGAUAGUGUCCCGUUCGGGGGAACUGAGACAGGUGGUGCAUUGGUUGUCGUCAGCUCGUGUCGUGAGAUGUUGGGUUAAGUCCCGCAACGAGCGCAACCCUUAUUGAUAGUUACUAACGCGUAGAGGCGAGGACUCUAUUGAGACUGCCGGGGACAACUCGGAGGAAGGUGGGACGACGUCAAAUCAUCAUGCCCCUUAUGAUCUGGGCUACACACGUGCUACAAUGGCCGAUACAGAGAGAAGCGAAAGCGCGAGCCGGAGCGGAUCUCACAAAAGCGGUCGAAGUUCGGAUUGUGGGCUGCAACCCGACUACAUGAAGGUGGAAUCGCUAGUAAUCGCGGAUCAGCAUGCCGCGGUGAAUACGUUCCCGGGCCUU
This 399-nucleotide ribosomal RNA is filed under the name uncultured Lachnospiraceae bacterium. RNAcentral's name for it is "bacterial SSU rRNA". It matches the Rfam family "Bacterial small subunit ribosomal RNA", at positions 987 to 1382 of the family's 1533-position model. The record is from RNAcentral. Lineage: Bacteria; Bacillati; Bacillota; Clostridia; Lachnospirales; Lachnospiraceae.